CAGUCGCCGCGGAAAAACGUAGGUGGCAAGCGUUGUCCGGAAUUAUUGGGCGUAAAGGGCUCGCAGGCGGUUUCUUAAGUCUGAUGUGAAAGCCCCCGGCUCAACCGGGGAGGGUCAUUGGAAACUGGGAAACUUGAGUGCAGAAGAGGAGAGUGGAAUUCCACGUGUAGCGGUGAAAUGCGUAGAGAUGUGGAGGAACACCAGUGGCGAAGGCGACUCUCUGGUCUGUAACUGACGCUGAGGAGCGAAAGCGUGGGGAGCGAACAGGAUUAGAUACCCCAGUAGUCCCUGUCUCUUAUAC
This 301-nucleotide ribosomal RNA is filed under the name uncultured bacterium. Its description in RNAcentral is "partial 16S ribosomal RNA". It matches the Rfam family "Bacterial small subunit ribosomal RNA", at positions 509 to 807 of the family's 1533-position model. The record is from RNAcentral.